GACGAACCGUGCGAACGUUAUUCGGAAUCACUGGGCGUAAAGCGCACGUAGGCGGGUCGUUAAGUCAGGGGUGAAAUCCUGGAGCUCAACUCCAGAACUGCCCUUGAUACUGGCGAUCUCGAGUUCGGGAGAGGUGAGUGGAACUGCGAGUGUAGAGGUGAAAUUCGUAGAUAUUCGCAAGAACACCAGUGGCGAAGGCGGCUCACUGGCCCGAUACUGACGCUGAGGUGCGAAAGCGUGGGGAGCAAACAGG
RNAcentral lists this ribosomal RNA (253 nucleotides) under uncultured bacterium. Its description in RNAcentral is "partial 16S ribosomal RNA". It matches the Rfam family "Bacterial small subunit ribosomal RNA", at positions 524 to 776 of the family's 1533-position model. The record is from RNAcentral.